AGGACGACGCUGGCGGCGUGCUUAACACAUGCAAGUCGAACGGUGAACCAGAGCUUGCUCUGGGGAUCAGUGGCGAACGGGUGAGUAACACGUGGGCAACCUGCCCCAGACUCUGGGAUAACCUCGGGAAACCGAUGCUAAUACCGGAUACGACCACUUCGGACAUCCGACGGUGGUGGAAAGUUUUUCGGUCUGGGAUGGGCCCGCGGCCUAUCAGCUAGUUGGUGGGGUAAUGGCCUACCAAGGCGACGACGGGUAGCCGGCCUGAGAGGGCGACCGGCCACACUGGAACUGAGACACGGUCCAGACUCCUACGGGAGGCAGCAGUGGGGAAUAUUGCACAAUGGGCGAAAGCCUGAUGCAGCGACGCCGCGUGAGGGACGACGGCCUUCGGGUUGUAAACCUCUUUCAGCAGGGACGAAGCGAAAGUGACUGUACCUGCAGAAGAAGCACCGGCUAACUACGUG
RNAcentral lists this ribosomal RNA (467 nucleotides) under uncultured bacterium. RNAcentral's name for it is "bacterial SSU rRNA". It matches the Rfam family "Bacterial small subunit ribosomal RNA", at positions 33 to 507 of the family's 1533-position model. The record is from RNAcentral.